GUAUUUAAAUGCGUUAGACGCAAUAGUACAUUCUGAGACUAACAGUUUGUAAUAAAAUACAUAGAGAGACUCGGAGCUGCAAAAGCAGCGUCCUUAUGAGCCAACCUAUGAAUGGUGCACAGAGGUAUAUGGAUGAAUUGACAAGGCGUGCACAUACCCCAAGGGGCCAGCGACAACCUCAUCGUGUAAUUCAUUAAUGAUCCUUCCGCAGGUUCACCUACGGAAA
RNAcentral lists this unclassified non-coding RNA (226 nucleotides) under uncultured fungus. RNAcentral describes it as "sequence contains ITS1". The record is from RNAcentral. Lineage: Eukaryota; Fungi.